RNAcentral lists this ribosomal RNA (554 nucleotides) under uncultured bacterium. RNAcentral describes it as "bacterial SSU rRNA". It matches the Rfam family "Bacterial small subunit ribosomal RNA", at positions 567 to 1116 of the family's 1533-position model. The record is from RNAcentral.
GUGCGUAGGUGGCGAGGUAAGUCGGAUGUGAAAGCUCGGAGCUCAACUCCGAAAUGGCAUUGGAAACUACCUUGCUCGAGGGUUGGAGGGGGGACUGGAAUGCUUGGUGUAGCAGUGAAAUGCGUAGAUAUCAAGCGGAACACCAGUGGCGAAGGCGAGUCCCUGGACAACUCCUGACACUGAGGCACGAAAGCUAGGGGAGCAAACAGGAUUAGAUACCCUGGUAGUCCUAGCCGUAAACGGUGCUUGCUUGCUGUAAGAGGAAUCGACCCCUCUUGUGGCGGAGCCAACGCGUUAAGCAAGCCGCCUGGGAAGUACGGUCGCAAGAUUAAAACUCAAAGAAAUUGACGGGGGCCUGCACAAGCGGUGGAGUAUGUGGCUCAAUUCGAUGCAACGCGAAGAACCUUACCUGGCCUUGACAUGUACGUAGUAGAAGGGUGAAAGCCUGACGAGGUAGCAAUACCAGCGUACACAGGUGCUGCAUGGCUGUCGUCAGCUCGUGUCGUGAGAUGUUGGGUUAAGUCCCGCAACGAGCGCAACCCUUGUGUCCUGUU